UCUCAGGAUCGACAGUAACGGUAACAUGACAGCCGUGAAACUACUCUUCCCGGCAUCCUACAUCUAUCCAUUCGCGUGCUCUCUCCUUUCGAGACACGUGCCAGUGACAGGAAUAUCGAAAUGGAUUUUCUUAGUCUCAUAUUGGACCUGGACCUCGUCGCGUGUGGAGUCGUCUUAAAGACGCGCAUCUAUUUGUAUCACCGUAUCUAAAUUGUUUUGUCAAAAUUGGUAAAAGAUUGAGAGACGAUGAGAUGGCAGUUUCGUCGACUACGAAUAGAGGAAAGAGAAAAUUUAAAAAGGUGCGACGUGGACAAUGGGAGGUAACGGUUGCGAGGGAGCAAUUCCAACUUGAAAAUCGUUCCCUGUCACGCUCGCCGAAUAUUAGUCUAUAUAAAAACCAACUGUUGCUCUUUGCGGUGGCACGAACAGAUUCAGAUCGAUGCAAUGGAUGUUCAACCAACCCCCCGGCCUCCCCCCGGCCGCGCCGUCUGACCUCACGCAAUCGUUCGUCCCUUCGACUGCUGCGAGGGAUUUUGCAAACGAGAAUCGAUGUCCUGUGGGAACGCGGCGCGGCGCGCUUCGAACGAGCGAACCAGGACCGCAACAACGUCACGUUCGAGUAUUCCGCCGAUUGAUUGCGCAUAAUUAUUGCAAUCGACGGCAAACUGUCCUGUUCUGUUGAAUUGUUUAUAAUUGCGGUAUCAUUUCAUUGAUACGUAUGCAAGCAAUUUUGUUUCUCUUAAUUUGGCAACCCAGAUACGUUCGUAACAUGAAUUGGUUGGCUUCAUUUAUAUUUUGGAACGUCACGAAUCUCAUACAGUGCUCUUCAUUUGAAUAGCCUAGGACCUACGCUAAAGGUUGAUACAUGCUUAUGUCAAAGAAAUAAAUUUUGUUAAAAAGUCUUGUCUACUAGUUAGAUUCAGUUAUAUCAUAUGUUAGUAAAUAACAUUAUAUUAAUGUACGCACAUGGGAAAUACAUUGUUGGUGGAAAUAUAAUAGGUCUCAGAUUCCCACAAGAA
Long non-coding RNA from Ceratina calcarata, 1019 nucleotides. RefSeq lists it as uncharacterized. Lineage: Eukaryota; Metazoa; Arthropoda; Insecta; Hymenoptera; Apidae. The record is from RefSeq and is a predicted model, not a curated record. The transcript has 2 exons.